This 697-nucleotide long non-coding RNA is filed under the name Nicotiana benthamiana. Its description in RNAcentral is "long non-coding RNA (NBEN_LNC026882)". Lineage: Eukaryota; Viridiplantae; Streptophyta; Magnoliopsida; Solanales; Solanaceae. The record is from RNAcentral.
CAAUUGAUUUGGUUUGGUAAUUAUAAAAUCCGAACCAACCCGAUCUAUGUACACCCCUAAAAAACCCUUGUAAUUUUGAAACGUUAAGAAGUACCUAAACCAUGAUAGUGACUUCAAUUAUCACACACUGCACUAUUAUCUCGAGUUCCAAAACAUGCCCUAGAAAAAAAUAUUAUUCACAAAAUUAAAUACUAUAAUCAAUCUUGCUAAUGAUUCUUUUUAUUUAUUUUCUUUUUGAGACCUGAAAAAGUACGGAUACAAAGAAAAAGAAGACAAACGACUUGCCCUAAUUAGUUUAUGAAAUAUUAUCUAUUGCAUUUCGAAACAAAAAUUGUUGGGAAUAAACCCUCUAUCAAAAUAAUAUUUAUGGUAAUAAAAGCGGAAUAAUAAUGUAGCACUGAGAUACGGUAAUUAACAAGAAUAAAAGAGUAACAAUGACACCAAGAAUUUUUUACGUGGAAAACCCUUCUGAAUAAGGGAAAAAACACGACCCUGAGAGGAGCAACUGAUAUCGCUAUAGCAAGGAAUUUUUACACUUUGUAGGUCCGAGAAAAAUACUUCAAAGACCACUGCAACACUCAAAGAAAUAACCCUCUUUUGAAAUUCCACCUCACUACAAUAUCGCUCAGUCUCUAUUUUCCUCACAGACUAUUUACUUAUAAUCUGCUUGUGAAACCUUACUCUUUUUCUCUCUUUC